CCUGAUGCAGCGACGCCGCGUGAGGGAUGACGGCCUUCGGGUUGUAAACCUCUUUCAAUAGGGACGAAGCGCAUGUGACGGUACCUAUAGAAGAAGGACCGGCCAACUACAUGCCAGCAGCCGCGGUAAUACGUAGGGUCCGAGCGUUGUCCGGAAUUACUGGGCGUAAAGAGCUCGUAGGUGGUUUGUCGCGUUGUUCGUGAAAACUCACAGCUUAACUGUGGGCGUGCGGGCGAUACGGGCAGACUAGAGUACUGCAGGGGAGACUGGAAUUCCUGGUGUAGCGGUGGAAUGCGCAGAUAUCAGGAGGAACACCGGUGGCGAAGGCGGGUCUCUGGGCAGUAACUGACGCUGAGGAGCGAAAGCGUGGGGAGCGAACAGGAUUAGAUACCCUGGUAGUCCACGCCGUAAACGGUGGGUACUAGGUGUGGGUUUCCUUCCUUGGGAUCCGUGCCGUAGCUGACGCAUUAAGUACCCCGCCUGGGGAGUACGGCCGCAAGGCUAAAACUCAAAGAAAUUGACGGGGGCCCGCACAAGCGGCGGAGCAUGUGGAUUAAUUCGAUGCAACGCGAAGAACCUUACCUGGGUUUGACAUGCACAGGACGCCGUAUAGAUAUUGGUUCCCUUGUGGCCUGUG
RNAcentral lists this ribosomal RNA (637 nucleotides) under Mycobacterium sp. So1Ps_798. RNAcentral describes it as "bacterial SSU rRNA". It matches the Rfam family "Bacterial small subunit ribosomal RNA", at positions 382 to 1031 of the family's 1533-position model. Lineage: Bacteria; Bacillati; Actinomycetota; Actinomycetes; Mycobacteriales; Mycobacteriaceae. The record is from RNAcentral.